ACCAGGAGCCACGUUGCCUUGAAGUUCCCGGUCUUAUCUGAUCUUGGAGGUUAACAGGGUCAGGCCUGGUCAUACUUGGUUAAGGGACCUCUGGGGGAUAUGGGGUGCUGUAGGCU
RNAcentral lists this ribosomal RNA (116 nucleotides) under Fukomys damarensis (Damara mole-rat). The record is from RNAcentral. Lineage: Eukaryota; Metazoa; Chordata; Mammalia; Rodentia; Bathyergidae.